This 324-nucleotide ribosomal RNA is filed under the name uncultured eukaryote. Its description in RNAcentral is "partial 18S ribosomal RNA". It matches the Rfam family "Eukaryotic small subunit ribosomal RNA", at positions 1470 to 1796 of the family's 1831-position model. The record is from RNAcentral.
CCCUUAGAUGUCCUGGGCUGCACGCGCGCUACACUGAUGUGUCCAGUAAGCACCUAACCUCUUCCGAAAGGAACGGGUAACCUUUGCAAAGCACAUCGUGAUGGGGAUAGAUUAUUGCAAUUAUUAGUCUUGAACGAGGAAUUCCUAGUAAGCACAAGUCAUCAGCUUGUGUUGAUUACGUCCCUGCCCUUUGUACACACCGCCCGUCGCUCCUACCGAUUGAAUGUUCCGGUGAGCUCUUCGGACUGCGCGUUCUGCAGUUUCUGCGUUCCGUGCGGAAAGUUGCGCAAACCUUAACAUUUAGAGGAAGGAGAAGUCGUAACA